This is a long non-coding RNA of Lynx canadensis (Canada lynx), 1669 nucleotides long. RefSeq lists it as uncharacterized. The transcript has 2 exons. The record is from RefSeq and is a predicted model, not a curated record. Lineage: Eukaryota; Metazoa; Chordata; Mammalia; Carnivora; Felidae.
ACCGAGUUCUCUGAGGGCCCUACUCUGGGGUGCUAGUUCCAUUAGGACACUAAAAAAAGGCCCAGAGCUAAGGGUGGACCUUAGUGUCCAGAUCCUUCCCAGCACCCAGGUCCCAAGGCAGCCUGAAGAGCAGGAAUCAUAGGCUACAAGGGCCCUCAGCAGUCAGCUGUCUGCCGGGUUGCCAGCGGAGGGCUUAAUCCGUGGCUUAGUUCUCUGAGGCUUCUAAGACCAAACCACCGAUCGCAGACAAAGGGCUGCCAACAAGAACAAGGGGGGCCUCUCCCAAACUUCCUGCAGGGUCCUCUGUGCCCAGGUCUGCCUGCCGAUCCCUGGAGGUCUCACCUGUCCCAGGAGCGGGGCUGGGGCUCCAGGUUGAGGGCUGGGGGGGCUGAUGCUUUGGAGCUGAAAGCCCAAGUCACGGAGUGUUCCCUCUAAACUACUGAGUCAGAAAAUUACUGUCCUGUCUGCCUACCUUCUCCCAGAGACACUUCCUAGCACUACACAGGUGUCUGUGAAAGAGCUCCUUUUUACAGCAGCAUCUGAAGAGACUCCCCCUCUCAGCCUUGCCUGCCCCCAGUACUCUCAUACCUGAGCACCUGCAGCAGAUGGGGCUGUUUACGUCCUAACCUGGGGAUCCGGGGGCACUGUCCUUUGGGCCUCCUCCCAACCUUUGUCCCUCUCCUCUGCUUUUCAUGUAAUGGCCAAGACAUCCCAACACGUCACCCUCCCAGGCACUACCCAGUGGAGGGCCCCAGACCCACUUACCCCCUUACAGAAAGAACAUGCCAUCCAUCUGUGCUUUGCUCACUCUAUGUAUCCAGGUGAAGGGUUUCUUAGGCUUGGGGGCCUCUACCUGGGGGGGGGAGGGCACUGGGGGCAGACAGCGCAGUUUUCUUUAUUCGUUCCCUCAAGCCCUAACAAUGCAGGCAAUAAAUGACCUGAUAAGGGGCACGUGAUGCCAGCGAAGAGGAUGGUUCCAGAAGGCACAGAAGUCUGUGUGCAGAAGAGGGCAUGGAGUGAGGAACAACCUGACCUGAAGCAACUGUCCAGGCCUGGAGUAGCGCCUGAAGCUAGAAGGCACCAGAUGAAGGCAAGAGGGUCCAGCCCAGGUCUUUGGCUCAGGCCAGGACACCUGGGGCCUUCCUUGUCUGGGCAUACAGAAGGUGUAGGGACAGAUUAUAAAAUCCUUGACAGCAAGUAAAAGCUAAGUACAGUUUGCUGAAUGAAUACAAGAAAUGAGGUCACAGAAAGAGCAAAGCCCACAAAACAACAGCAACAGCUUUGGGAUGCUGCCAGCAGGCAAAGCAUUGAGAGCGGAAAGCCUAAUCCUAUGCCCUCGUGAAAAGUAUCACACUGCAGGAAACCCAUAACUCAGCAGAUAGGGCAGUUUCCUGCAGAAAAGCCCCUCGUGAGAAUGGGCUGAGUGACAAGAUUUAGUGCAGGCAGAGAGCCCACCUUCAACCAACUACAGUCAGAGGAGAGAAAUUUUUAACCUUUUGCUAAAGUCAUUAAUGGAACUGUACUACCUGCUACCUAAGAACUAAAACGGUUGGUCAGAACUUCCCACACUCCCUCUCCCACUCUGACCCUGUGCUAACCGGCAAUGCAGUACCCAGAAAGCAAGGAGAAAACCACUUAGAGAUCACUUUUCUAUUUUCAUGGAUUAAAA